Molecule: ribosomal RNA, 1840 nt
Filed under: Curtobacterium sp. PhB171
Lineage: Bacteria; Bacillati; Actinomycetota; Actinomycetes; Micrococcales; Microbacteriaceae
Description: bacterial LSU rRNA
Rfam family: Bacterial large subunit ribosomal RNA
Source: RNAcentral
UGUGGUCAAGUUUCUAAGAGCAAACGGUGGAUGCCUUGGCAUCUGGAGCCGAAGAAGGACGUAGAAAUCUGCGAUAAGCCUCGGGGAGCUGAUAAUCGAGCCCUGAUCCGAGGAUUUCCGAAUGGGGAAACCCCGCUGGGCGCUUUUGUGACCUGGUGACUCCCGCCUGAAUAUAUAGGGCGGGUAGAGGGAACGUGGGGAAGUGAAACAUCUCAGUACCCACAGGAAGAGAAAACAACAUGUGAUUCCGUGAGUAGUGGCGAGCGAAAGCGGAUGAGGCUAAACCGAUCAUGUGUGAUAGCCGGCGGGCGUUGCAUGGUCGGGGUUGUGGGACACGUCACUCAGUUCUGCCGGACUGGGGCGGUUACAGCGCAUCAUAGUCGAACCGGUUUGAAAGCCGGGCCGUAGUGGGUGCCAGCCCCGUAGACGAAAUGGUGUUAUGGCCGGAUGUGUAUCCCAAGUAGCACGGGGCCCGAGAAAUCCCGUGUGAAUCUGUCAGGACCACCUGAUAAGCCUAAAUACUCCCAGAUGACCGAUAGCGGACAAGUACCGUGAGGGAAAGGUGAAAAGUACCCCGGGAGGGGAGUGAAAUAGUACCUGAAACCGUUUGCUUACAAACCGUCGGAGCCUCCUUAGUAGGGGUGACGGCGUGCCUUUUGAAGAAUGAGCCUGCGAGUUAGUGAUAUGUGGCGAGGUUAACCCGUGUGGGGCAGCCGUAGCGAAAGCGAGUCUGAAUAGGGCGUUUGAGUCGCAUGUUCUAGACCCGAAGCGAAGUGAUCUAUCCAUGGCCAGGUUGAAGCGACGGUAAGACGUCGUGGAGGACCGAACCCACUUCAGUUGAAAAUGGAGGGGAUGAGCUGUGGAUAGGGGUGAAAGGCCAAUCAAACUUCGUGAUAGCUGGUUCUCUCCGAAAUGCAUUUAGGUGCAGCGUUGCGUGUUUCUCGCCGGAGGUAGAGCUACUGGAUGGCCGAUGGGCCUCAACAGGUUACUGACGUCAGCCAAACUCCGAAUGCCGGUGAGUGAGAGCGCAGCAGUGAGACGGUGGGGGAUAAGCUUCAUCGUCGAGAGGGAAACAACCCAGACUACCAACUAAGGUCCCUAAGCGUGUGCUAAGUGGGAAAGGAUGUGGAGUUGCAUAGACAACCAGGAGGUUGGCUUAGAAGCAGCCACCCUUGAAAGAGUGCGUAAUAGCUCACUGGUCAAGUGAUUCCGCGCCGACAAUGUAACGGGGCUCAAGCACACCACCGAAGUUGUAGAUUUCGCACACUCGACAAGCCUUCGUGGUUCAGUCGUGCGGAGUGGUAGGAGAGCGUCGUGUGGCGAGUGAAGCGGCGGAGUGAUCCAGCCGUGGACGCUACACGAGUGAGAAUGCAGGCAUGAGUAGCGAAAGACGGGUGAGAAACCCGUCCUCCGAAAGACCAAGGGUUCCAGGGCCAGGUUAAUCCGCCCUGGGUAAGUCGGGACCUAAGGCGAGGCCGACAGGCGUAGUCGAUGGACAACGGGUUGAUAUUCCCGUACCGGCGAACAACCGCCCAAGCUAAUCCAGUGGUGCUAAGAGUCCUAACCCGGAUCAACCGGAUCCCUUCGGGGUGAUGGUGGCCGGUCUAACGCUCGACCCCAUGCUGGUGCGGUUAGCGUAUGAACAGGUGUGACGCAGGAAGGUAGCUGAGCCAGGCGAUGGUAUCCGUAAGGUGAACCUGGUGUAAGGAUGUAGGGCUGACGAUAGGCAAAUCCGUCGUCUGUACGCCUGAGAUCCGACGCGUACCCGUAAGGGGAAAUCAGUGAUCCUAUGCUGCCGAGAAAAGCAUCGACGCGAGGUUGCAGCCGCCCGUACCCGAAA